CCCUUAGAUGUUCUGGGCCGCACGCGUGCUACACUGAGUGGAUCAGCGGGUCAGGUUGCGCGAAAGUGUUUCCUAAUCUUUAAAUCCGCUCAUGAUGGGGAUUGACGGUUGCAAUUUUCCGUCAUGAACGAGGAAUACCUUGUAAGCGCGGGUCAUCAUCCCGCGCUGAAUACGUCCCUGCCCUUUGUACACACCGCCCGUCGCUCCUACCGAUUGAGUGGUCCGGUGAGGCUUUGGGAUCUGAGCGGAAAGAGCGUUUCGCUGUUUCUGCCCGGAAAACUCAGUCGAACCUUAUCAUUUAGAGGAAGGAGAAGUCGUAACA
RNAcentral lists this ribosomal RNA (322 nucleotides) under uncultured eukaryote. Its description in RNAcentral is "partial 18S ribosomal RNA". It matches the Rfam family "Eukaryotic small subunit ribosomal RNA", at positions 1470 to 1796 of the family's 1831-position model. The record is from RNAcentral.